This 627-nucleotide ribosomal RNA is filed under the name Zariquieya boumortensis. Its description in RNAcentral is "partial 16S ribosomal RNA". It matches the Rfam family "Bacterial large subunit ribosomal RNA", at positions 1830 to 2767 of the family's 2925-position model. The record is from RNAcentral. Lineage: Eukaryota; Metazoa; Arthropoda; Insecta; Coleoptera; Carabidae.
GUCUUUUUGAUUUUAUAUAAAGUCUAGCCUGCCCACUGAAAAAUUUGAAUGGCCGCAGUAAUUUGACUGUGCAAAGGUAGCAUAAUCAUUAGUUUUUUAAUUAAAAGCUUGUAUGAAAGGUUGGACGAAGUAAAAUCUGUCUCUAUUUAAUUAAAUUUAGAAUUUAAUUUUUAAGUUAAAAAGCUUAAAUAUUUAUAAAAGACGAGAAGACCCUAUAGAGCUUUAUAAUUUAUUUUAAUAUAAUUAAUUAGGAUUAAUUUAAGUUUUAUUAAUAUAAUUAUUUUAUUGGGGUAAUAGAAAGAUUUAAAAAAUUCUUUUUUUUUAUUAACAUUUAUAUAUGAAUAUAAUGAUCCAUUUUUAAUGAUUAAAAGAUUAAGUUACCUUAGGGAUAACAGCGUAAUUUUUUUAAAGAGUUCAUAUCGAUAAAAAAGUUUGCGACCUCGAUGUUGGAUUAAAGAUUAUUUUAGGUGUAGAAGUUUAAAAUUUUGGUCUGUUCGACCAUUAAAUCUUUACAUGAUCUGAGUUCAGACCGGUGUAAGCCAGGUCGGUUUCUAUCUUUAUUAAAAUAAAAUAUUUUAGUACGAAAGGACCAAAUAUUUAAUAUAUUUAUAUUUAUUUUUUGAAUAU